RNAcentral lists this ribosomal RNA (253 nucleotides) under uncultured bacterium. Its description in RNAcentral is "partial 16S ribosomal RNA". It matches the Rfam family "Bacterial small subunit ribosomal RNA", at positions 524 to 776 of the family's 1533-position model. The record is from RNAcentral.
UACGAAGGGGGCUAGCGUUGUUCGGAAUUACUGGGCGUAAAGCGCGUGUAGGCGGGUCUUUAAGUCAGGGGUGAAAUGCCAAGGCUCAACCUUGGAACUGCCUUUGAUACUGGAGACCUUGAGUCCGGGAGAGGUGAGUGGAAUUGCGAGUGUAGAGGUGAAAUUCGUAGAUAUUUGCAAGAACACCAGUGGCGAAGGCGGCUCACUGGCCCGGAACUGACGCUGAGAUGCGAAAGCGUGGGGAGCAAACAGG